This 346-nucleotide transfer-messenger RNA is filed under the name human gut metagenome. It matches the Rfam family "transfer-messenger RNA". From Rfam's summary of the family: Bacterial tmRNA, also known as 10Sa RNA or SsrA, is named for its dual tRNA and mRNA-like properties. Its role is to liberate the mRNA from a stalled ribosome. To accomplish this part of the tmRNA is used as a reading frame that ends in a translation stop signal. The record is from RNAcentral.
GGGGGCGUAACGGUUUCGACGGGGGCUUUGAGCACCGGUCAGCGGGUAGAGGCGCGACACUCUUAAAACAGCGCAAUCGUUAAAUAAUUAAACGACAACGAAACAACUCUUCUUGCUGCCUAACUAAUGCAGCCGUCCGCCCCGCGAGUACCGCGGCGCGGGGAUGGGCGUCACUCAGCGGUGAACGUUUCGCGGGAAUGUUCCGCCCCGUGAGAUGCCUCAGGAACUGUCUGACCUCGGAGCCUGUUUAUCGGCGCCCCGGAAAGAGAGCAUCAAAAGAUAAACUACACCCGUAGAAGACCGUUGUAAGAGGCUUUCGGACAGGGGUUCGACUCCCCUCGCCUCC